RNAcentral lists this long non-coding RNA (372 nucleotides) under Panax ginseng (ginseng). RNAcentral's name for it is "long non-coding RNA (PGIN_LNC014783)". The record is from RNAcentral. Lineage: Eukaryota; Viridiplantae; Streptophyta; Magnoliopsida; Apiales; Araliaceae.
AACCAACCAUCACAAGCAAAGAAAACGUAAACAGUUGCAAAAGAAAGAAAAGCUAAUAAGAAAACAUCAUCCACAUGAUGAACAUACCAUCAAAUCCAUCAAGUCGUCAUGUCACAAAUCUACCUAAAUAUUAAAAGCAAGUUUAACAUUCAAUACAAUAAAAUAAAUAUUAAAUACAAAAAAUAACUAAUCCAAUAUCUCUACCACAACACAUCAAAUUCUAGGUAGUUGUCAAAAUUAGCAAAAACAUCACAAGCAAAGAGUACUUCAACUUAAGCACAAAACAUACCACCAUCAUAGCCACUAACUCAUCAUGACACUAAUCCCACUAUCCCCUUAAUAAACUAAAGUACGAUUAACACUCGAUACAAU